Molecule: ribosomal RNA, 424 nt
Filed under: uncultured bacterium
Lineage: Bacteria
Description: bacterial SSU rRNA
Rfam family: Bacterial small subunit ribosomal RNA
Source: RNAcentral
AGGCCUAACACAUGCAAGUCGAGCGGUAGCGGGCCUGACCACUCUCGAGUGGUUCAGGCGCCGACGAGCGGCGGACGGGUGCGUAACACGUAGGAAUCUGCCUGGUAGUGGGGGAUAGCCCGGAGAAAUUCGGAUUAAUACCGCAUACGCCCUAAGGGGGAAAGCAGGGGAUCGGUUCGCCGACCUUGCGCUAUCGGAUGAGCCUGCGUCGGAUUAGCUUGUUGGUGGGGUAAAGGCCUACCAAGGCGACGAUCCGUAGCUGGUCUGAGAGGAUGAUCAGCCACACUGGGACUGAGACACGGCCCAGACUCCUACGGGAGGCAGCAGUGGGGAAUAUUGCACAAUGGGCGAAAGCCUGAUGCAGCCAUGCCGCGUGUGUGAAGAAGGCCCUAGGGUUGUAAAGCACUUUCAGUGGGGAGGAAAG